GAUGAUGAUGAUGAUGAUGACAUGGAGCAGGCAACAUACUUUACAUUAUUUGAGGAUUGUGCUCUUUAUUUUCUUAAAAAAACUGCUAACCAACUCAUGGAGGAGAUGGAGAAUGAGACUGGAGAUAGGAAUGGAACCCCUGAGGCACUCACCAUCAUGCUUGAUAGACAAUGUCUUUUUAAAGUUGAGGUGGGUACGAGGUUUGGUGAUCGGACAUAUACUGUGAAGAAAAUAACUGAAGAUGUUGAUAUUAUGGCAAAGUUUUCUAAGCUUUGUCAUGAUGAGGUAAGCGUAUUCUUUUAUGGAACAAAUAUGUAGAUUAUGUAUUGGUUAUUCUUAAAUAAAAUAGAAUUCUUAAUUGAUGUUUUUUUAUGAAAUUUUACGAAGUCGCCUCAACAUACAAGGGUUCUACCAAUUUCACUGAGAAAAAUGCAAAUGAAGAGGAUCAUAUAGAGGUGAUUGAAGAAUCGUGUUCCAAUUCUACGAGCACUCAAAUCACUCCACAAAAAAGGGAUCCUAAUGACCUAUAUCGAGAUCAUGCUGACGGUGAUGAUUUACAAUUGUCAUCAACAAAGAUCUUGAAGAAGUAGAUGACAUUGAACAAUUUGAUUUGGGUUUUUUUAUUGUUAUUUUUCAAUGGAUUAUUUGAAAAGACAUAAACACGAUUAGUUGUUCAUUUUAUUUGGGUAA
Salvia miltiorrhiza (redroot sage) is the source of this 690-nucleotide long non-coding RNA. RefSeq lists it as uncharacterized. The record is from RefSeq and is a predicted model, not a curated record. The transcript has 3 exons. Lineage: Eukaryota; Viridiplantae; Streptophyta; Magnoliopsida; Lamiales; Lamiaceae.